This 496-nucleotide ribosomal RNA is filed under the name uncultured bacterium. RNAcentral describes it as "partial 16S ribosomal RNA". It matches the Rfam family "Bacterial small subunit ribosomal RNA", at positions 28 to 506 of the family's 1533-position model. The record is from RNAcentral.
GAUGAACGCUGGCGGCGUGCCUAAUACAUGCAAGUCGAGCGAACGGACGAGAAGCUUGCUUCUCUGAUGUUAGCGGCGGACGGGUGAGUAACACGUGGAUAACCUACCUAUAAGACUGGGAUAACUUCGGGAAACCGGAGCUAAUACCGGAUAAUAUUUUGAACCGCAUGGUUCAAAAGUGAAAGACGGUCUUGCUGUCACUUAUAGAUGGAUCCGCGCUGCAUUAGCUAGUUGGUAAGGUAACGGCUUACCAAGGCAACGAUGCAUAGCCGACCUGAGAGAGGGAUCCGCCACACAGCAACAGAGACACGGUCCAGACUCCUACGGGAGGCAGCAGUAGGGAAUCUACCGCAAUGGGCGAAAGCCUGACGGAGCAACGCCGCGUGAGUGAUGAAGGUCUUCGGAUCGUAAAACUCUGUUAUUAGGGAAGAACAUAUGUGUAAGUAACUGUGCACAUCUUGACGGUACCUAAUCAGAAAGCCACGGCUAACUACGU